AUUGAACGCUGGCGGCAUGCCUUACACAUGCAAGUCGAACGUGAAAGCGGGGCAACCCGCAAGUAGAGUGGCGGACGGGUGAGUAAUACAUCGGAACGUGUCCAGUAAUGGGGGAUAACCUAGCGAAAGUUAGGCUAAUACCGCAUACGAUCUGCGGAUGAAAGCGGGGGAUGCGGCACUAAAGGCUUUUGGCGAAGGUGGCCAAAGGUGAGUCAAGAGCUUUUAGUGCUGCACCUCGCGUUAUUGGAGCGGCUGAUGUCUGAUUAGCUAGUUGGUGAGGUAAAGGCUUACCAAGGCGACGAUCAGUAGCUGGUCUGAGAGGACGGCCAGCCACACUGGGACUGA
RNAcentral lists this ribosomal RNA (345 nucleotides) under uncultured bacterium. RNAcentral's name for it is "bacterial SSU rRNA". It matches the Rfam family "Bacterial small subunit ribosomal RNA", at positions 30 to 322 of the family's 1533-position model. The record is from RNAcentral.